GUUCCGCCCAAGCGUCCAUAGCGACGGCGGAGUUCGGCACCUCGAUGUCGGCUCACCUUAGCGCGGGGGUGGAGAAGCUCCCAAGCGUUUGGCUGUUCGCCAAUUAAAAAGGUACGCGAGCUGGGUUCAGACCGUUCAGUUCCUGUCCCUCCGGACGGAGAUUGAACGGUCUGAACCCCGAGGAAGACUGUUAGCUGCACGAGACGCAGUGUGCGUAAACGACAACAAUUCACGGCGGCGCGGUACAGGAAUGUAGCGCGACCAUCUCAACUGAUAUCGGAAGAACCCAUCUCUCAUGGGCCAUUCCGAGGGAAGUCGCAAGACGCCCCGAGAGACUGCAUGUUGAGCACCGAGAACCGGUGAAGGUACAGUCCGAUCCUCCGAGUAAUCGGAGUAACGAAAUGCGUGAGACAGGUUGGUCUCCUAUCUACUACAGGCGUUGAUUCUUGCGGAGGGUUGUCCCUAGUAAGAAAUUGCUACUUCAGAGAGAGAUCUCUGAUGACAAUGCGGCUUAUAACGGUGAAGUCUACGGCUCACCUGGCCCGAGAGUGCGGUAUCCGAUGGUCCAGUGGAUAUCGAACUCGCUUGAGGACCAGAUUGACGCUACGAUAAUACCGUGGGAAGUCGAUCAAGUAUUACCUCCACAGACCUAGCGUAUAUCGCGGGCUUCUUGGACGGAGACGGCAGUCUCAUGCUCCAGGUGAAGCGCCGCGGCGACUCUACGCGGGGCGUGCGUUUCAUGGCGACCAUAUGUCUCUAUCAGGACACGCGUCAUGCAGCGCCGCUCUCGUGGGUACGCACGCGACUACAGUGCGGCUACAUAUCGCGCCGGAACGACGGCAUGACGGAAUUGCGUAUCAACGGCUUCGCGCAGGUGCGCGAAUGCCUCGAGACGCUCCUGCCAUACCUGCGUUUCAAGCGGACUCAAGCGAGCGUGCUUAUCAAGGCAUGCAAGAAACUUGAGGAACAAACGAUACGUACCAUACCGAAGCGCGAAUUGCGCGCGCUCGUCGCGCUCUUGUUGCAGAUUCAGAAUGAAAAUUAUGCAAGCAAGAGGCGCAGGACGAGCGAAGAUCUGCACAAAAUACUUGGUUUGACCCCGUAACGACUAGCGUUAAAAGACACGCUGAGUCAUGGGUUGAGGAAUCAUUCCAUCGAGAAUGACUGCUCCCAUGACUAAGAUGCCGCCGCCCUAGUCUGCCACGUGGCGGAAAGGGCGAAGAUAUAGUCUGCGCUCCUGGAAACAGGGGAAUACGUGACGAGAGGACCGGGAUGAACUGACCUCUGGUGUAUCGGCUGUCGCGCCAGCGGCACUGCCGAGUAGCUAUGUCGGGUAGCGAUAACCGCUGAAAGCAUAUAAGCGGGAAGCGCGCUCCAAGAUCAGGAAUCGUUUGAGGCCCCUCGAAGACUACGAGGUUGAUAGGCUCUAGGUAGAAGCGCCGCGAGGCGUGGAGCCGAGGAGUACUAAUGGCUCGAGUCUCUCGUACGG
Molecule: ribosomal RNA, 1489 nt
Filed under: Patescibacteria group bacterium
Lineage: Bacteria
Description: partial 23S ribosomal RNA
Rfam family: Bacterial large subunit ribosomal RNA
Source: RNAcentral